Molecule: long non-coding RNA, 700 nt
Filed under: Vitis vinifera (wine grape)
Lineage: Eukaryota; Viridiplantae; Streptophyta; Magnoliopsida; Vitales; Vitaceae
Description: long non-coding RNA (VVIN_LNC003800)
Source: RNAcentral
GGCUACAGAGGCACGGAAAGCCCUCAGAUGCACCCACGUGUAGGGAGGGAAUCCUAAUCGAAGGAUCUACGGCUCAACCUACAAGGUCAAGGUGGCUCUAAAUGGAUAAGGGUGGACUUUAAAAUAUCCCUAGCAGAAGCGAUCAUACCCUCCGGCGGUACGCAACCCUCUGCACGCCUCCGAAGAGACGGGGCGCUUCCAUGCAAGGUGGUCAUCACCUCCACACAUGCACUACCUCGCAUCCCAAGGGGUUUCCUAUGGUGAAACCUCUCAAACUCUCAACACUCAAUAGUCUACUAGCGUGCACAGUGAUGGUGUGGGUGCAUCCGAAACCCUAAGAAGCUAAAGCAGGAUAUGAAACACACUGGCCACACAAAUAUCCAUGAAACCUAGCUCCGGGCUAUACAGGUCUUCAAUGAUCGGACUCCAAUCGACAUCAAAGUGUCGCUCUCCUCCAGAAUGCUCCCGUACAUCGAUAUAGCCCGUCGCUAGACCCUACUCCUAAUCUCUGGCUCGGUCAGAGAGCAAACACACAGAAGGUCUCACACUUGCAAUAGUGAGAACCGGGAUGAAAGGAAUGACCGAAACCAAGAGAGUUGGAGGUAAGGGGAUAUAUGUGCGGCCCACAUAGACAGGCAACAUGCAAUCAUGCAGAAGGAAGGCAGUCACGCGUCAUACAGUCAAGCAAAGUACAGGAUAU